AGAGAGGACAUGCGCGCAUAUCAAUAAGCGGAGGAAAAGAAACUAACAAGGAUUCCCCUAGUAACGGCGAGUGAAGCGGGAAGAGCUCAAAUUUGAAAUCUUAAAGGGUUUCCCUUUACGAAUUGUAGUUUAAAGAAGUGUUUUCUGUUGAGGUUUUGGUAAAAGUUCUUUGGAAUAGGACAUCAUAGAGGGUGAGAAUCCCGUAUUUGACCAUUACUUUCCAACUUUGUGAUACACUUUCAAAGAGUCGGAUUGUUUGGGAAUGCAGUCCAAAAUGGGUGGUAAAUUUCAUCUAAAGCUAAAUAUUGGCGAGAGACCGAUAGCGAACAAGUACCGUGAGGGAAAGAUGAAAAGAACUUUGAAAAGAGAGUUAAACAGUACGUGAAAUUGUCAAAAGGGAAGCGUUUGACACCAGUGUUGUUUUUCUGAAAAUCAAUUAAAGAACUGUUUAUGCUAAGCUGUUUAGACUUUAUCAGCUACCUGUUUAGUUUUGAGCUUUUCUUUAAUGCACUUUUCAGUUAACAAGUCAACAUCAAUUUCUUUUGCUGUAAAAAAGCUUGAGGAAGGUGGCUUGAGAUUCGUCUUAAGUGUUUAUAGCCUCUUGCCUAUGCAGUCGGAGAGAUUGAGGUCUGCAGCGUAGAUCCUUCGGGGCUAAAUGCAUUUGUGCUAAGUUAUAGCAUUUUAUAGACAACUUGUUGACUAUGAUUUGUCUUGUAGCUUACUCGCUUAUGUUAUUUUACCUACGCUUAGGAUGUUGAGCGCAUGUCUCUCUCU
RNAcentral lists this ribosomal RNA (774 nucleotides) under uncultured Neocallimastigales. RNAcentral's name for it is "partial large subunit ribosomal RNA". It matches the Rfam family "Eukaryotic large subunit ribosomal RNA", at positions 17 to 616 of the family's 3401-position model. Lineage: Eukaryota; Fungi; Neocallimastigomycota; Neocallimastigomycetes; Neocallimastigales. The record is from RNAcentral.